CGAAGAUGAAAUAUUCUAAAGAGCUGGUUCAGGACACUUUCACUCUGAGAAAACAGGGGAGAGACAAUAUUCCUUGAGGGAAUAACUCUAGAUUUUUCUUUGUUUUCAGGAGUCGGGAGCAACUGAUCUUGAAGGACUUAAACUGAUAUUAGCCUGAAUCUGAGUGUGGUAGAGUUGCAUUUCUAAACCAGAAGUAGAAAGGAAACACUCCGCCUGAUAUUUAGGCCACAAUAAGCCGAGGAGGAAUACCUUGAUGAGAAUGAGGACUAGAGAGGAGGAGUCUUACCGGUGGGAAAGGGCCCUACGACUAAACGCCGGGGGCGAACCCGAUGAGGAGCGGCCCAGGAACGGCAAGAAAUUCAAAAGUUUACUAUUAGAGGUAAAGAAAAAUAUAUAGGAUUUAGAUAAAGUAGAUCUCAGACUAUUAAGGAAAACUUUGAUAAAAGUGCCUGAGAGCGUUUUAGAGCGUCUUUAAUUUUUAGUUUAGUUACGUUCUUGAUUCAAGAAACCAACUUCUACCUCCCUAGACUAACAUCCUAAUCCUCAAUUUCCUUUUGAAAACCCGAAAACUCAAUUAUGAUAUUUGGGGUCGGGCAUUCAGAUAUUUCGGUUCAGAAAUCAGAACUUCCGGUUGUUCAGUUUGAGGAAGAUGAUGCUGACUAAACCGAAACAAACUUGGUUCAGAAGUGACAAACUUCGGUUCUAUUAGAUUCAGUUCUGACUUAAGUUCAGUUUGGUUUUAGUUAAAACUACUGUUGCCAGAUUGGAACCGAAAUUUUUUUUCAGAUAUGGUUUAUGUGACAAAUUUACCGACUCAAUCUAAUUUUAAUAGGGUUCUAAUUUUCAACAAAUGGGUUGAGAAGAUAAAUUCCAUAAAUAUUGUUAGUCCAGAUUUUAGGUGUCAAUAUCAACUAUAAACUUUCGUUUAGUUAAGUCGAAGCUAGAGUGCAAUUAAUAUAUACACAUUUAAUAUUGUAAAUUCAUGAGUUUCAAGGAAGAGUAGAGAAACAAUAAGCAUAUAACUUCGAAGUUCAAACUAAAAAGCUUUAAUAAUUUUGUUCAAAGAUGGGUAAUCUAAUCUUUCGAUAGCUUGAGAGUUGAGAAUUGAUCACUCAUAUUUUGUACGUAUACACUUGAUGCUAUCACUACGAUUCUACGAACAUCAAAGAACAACAACAUGUACUAUACAUAAUACAUGUUCUGAGUUCGAGUAGAGUUUUGACAAAAAAGACCGCAACUACUACCGGUCUCUUAAAAAAUUUCAAAUUUACAGACACAUAAGAGGUACAAUCACACAGAAAGUUUAUUAGGAUCAAGAGUAUUUAAAAAAUUGUUUAAGAAUGGAAAGAGAUGAUUAUACAAAGGGGGAUAUUUUAUUUAUAUGGAAUACUCACAAAUUACAAUGACACUCAAAGUUUUCUCUCAAACUCGAUUACAGGACUUGGCUUGAUUUAUGCAAGCACCCAAGCCUCUUAUUUAUAAUGAUACAAUGGAUACAUAACUUAAGAUUAUUACACACGUGGAUACUAACUUAGAGCUAUUUAGCAUGUGGAUACCUAACUUCCUCAUGCAUAAAUAUUUUAUUCUUUUCUUAUUUAACAUAUGGAUUAUGAUGCUUUACUUAUUCAACAUGUGCAUCAUUAUUUAUUAUUAUCCCCCCUACCUCCAAAAGAGAGAUAGAUUCUCCCUUAUCCGAAGUCUGAAUCCUCGUCGUCUUCUUUGCUGUCAGAAACUAUCUUCGUUAUGAAGAUUUUGUGGCCCGGGAUAUACCUUUUGAUUGUGUACUUCUUUCCUUCAACUCUGUAGAUUGGAUGGUCAGGAUCAUCUUGUGGCCACGCGUACUGAUCAUGGAAGCUUGCUAGACUUUGUCGUAUUUCAUCAAUAAAGUCAUGUGGAUAAGCAUCCUUGUUGUGCCAGUUUGCAGUGUGAGGACAAAAUAACUGUGGGUCAAUUUCAGAUUCUUCAAUGUGAUUUAUCGCUGCC
RNAcentral lists this long non-coding RNA (1983 nucleotides) under Eutrema salsugineum. Its description in RNAcentral is "long non-coding RNA (ESAL_LNC000110)". Lineage: Eukaryota; Viridiplantae; Streptophyta; Magnoliopsida; Brassicales; Brassicaceae. The record is from RNAcentral.